UAGCAGGUAAGUGCUGUGCCACAAAUUAAUCCUUAUUUUGCUUAGAUCUUAUUUCAGUUUGGAAUAAAAUCAAGACGUCGUUACUCUUGAUUUGUCUGAAGUUUCAAGUUCUUACUGCAUGAGUUCAGAUGGAAUCCAGACUUGCUCCCCACCUGUUUACCCCACAGCGGAGUCUGAAGUGUGUUGGGAUAUCAGCAUUAAAAAAAAUCCACAUUAUUUGAUGCCUAAGCUAUUUUGUCUAUCCUGAGAAGUUAAGAUGUCCCUUUCCCUGCUGUCCUUGGAUUUCUG
RNAcentral lists this long non-coding RNA (288 nucleotides) under Parus major (Great Tit). RNAcentral's name for it is "lncRNA (ENSPMJG00000000241.1)". Lineage: Eukaryota; Metazoa; Chordata; Aves; Passeriformes; Paridae. The record is from RNAcentral.